CCCAGCAUAUUGAAUUGUGUGACAUCGUGAGAUUUUGUUUGAUAAAGGAGGUAUCCACUCAUUGUUGAAGUCUUAUAAGGUGACUGAACUGUAUGACCAGGUUGAAUUUGCUCAUCUGAAAGAGAAUGUCAUUUUCUUUUGGUUCUGGUCAACAAACCACACAAGCACCAUCAGGGUUUACCUUUGGACAACCUCAACAACAACAGUCUACAGGUUUCUCUUUUGGAACUCCUGCAACUACCACUAGUUCAGGAUUCUCCUUUGGAAACACACAAGCAUCUCAACCUUCUUCAGGGUUCUCUUUUGGGAAUCCAACCUCAACUGGCUUUAAUUUAGGAAGUAACCCAAGUUCUGGUGGCUUCAGCUUUGGAAACUCUAAUCCAACUUCAGGUGGCUUCAGUUUUGGAAGCUCUAAUCCAUCUUCAGGUGGAUCAACAGGUGUUACUCCUGGAAACACUGGUGCAGCUAGUGGAUUUUUUGGCCUUGGAGCUCAGAAUGCCUCUGCAACUGGAGGGGUUGCUGGAGUUCCAGCAGGUGGAACCAGCACAUUUGGAUUUGGUAGCAACCCUGCCACUUCAGGAGCACAGCCCACCUUUGGAACUGGCUUAAGUCAGACAACUUCAGGAGGUGGUGGCUUCAGUUUUGGAACCAACACAACUACCACAUCUAGUACUGCUUCAUUGGGAACUGCUGCUGUUACUUCUGCUUCAAUUGGGUUGCCAUUAUCAACACCGACGGGAGGUUUUAAUUUUGGGGUCCCUGCUACUACCACAUCUGGGGGCCUGUCUUUUGGAACCACUUCAACUACUACGCCUAGUGGAGGGAUUUUUGGAGGAACAUCAGGAAUAACAUUUGGAGCUACGCCUUCCCAAAUAGGUACUACAACAGUAGGAGCUACAGUGACAACUACUACAAAACCAACAGGUUUAACAUUUGGGAUUCCUCUUGCAUCUGGACCAGCACCAUCAGUAACAACAUCUGCUGCAACAGUUCUUCAGUUUGGAGUAACUGGACAGGCUGCUGUUACCACUGCAUCUUCCUCUACAGGAUUUGGGAUUCUGCAAACAUCCACAUCAGGAAUCACUGGUCAACCUGCAACAACUUCAGUUACUAAGACAACUAGUACAGGUUUCUCAUUUGGUGCAGUACCUUCCUUUCUCAGUAGUACUUCAACAGCUACAACCAGUACUUCUGAUGGUUUCAAUAUUGCAAUGAGUAAACCUUCCAGCACGGUAACCUCAGCAUCUGGCUUUUCCUCACUUGUAACAACAACGACUUCCACAUCAAUAGGAGGUACAGUUUCUACUGCUACACCUGCUACUACAAUGAACUUCAGGCAAUUAGAAGAAUCCAUCAAUAAAUGGACGUUGGAACUUGAAGAACUUGAAAGAACAUUUCUUAACCAAGCUACCCAAGUUAAUGCAUGGGAUCGUUUACUUAUUUCAAAUGGUCAGAAGAUAACUGCUUUGAAUGAAGCAGUGGAAAAGGUAAAGCUGGAUCAACAGAGGUUGGACCACGAGUUAGAUUUUAUUGUAGCCCAACAGAGAGAAUUAGAAGAGUUGUUGGUGCCACUUGAGAAAAGUGUAGAGUCAGCCCCACAUCUCUCAGUUCAACAGCAUGCAGACCUGGAAAGAGAACACACAUAUCAUCUAGCUGAAAACAUUGAUGGUCAGCUAAAGAGAAUGGCUGAGGAUAUUAAAGAAAUAAUUGAACGACUAAACACUUCCAGUAAAAGCCAGGAAGAAGUUGAUCCUAUGCAACAGAUGUCAAAGAUUCUCAGUGUUCAUAUGGAUGCCCUACAAUGGAUUGAACAGAACUCAGGAAUUGUUCAAAGAAAGAUUGAAGAAAUUGGAAAAAUCUCUGAAAUCGAAAGAAGAGAUCAAGAUAAGACCUUCAGGAUGUAAGACUGAUGAUGAGAACAAUACCCCCAAGUUCUUUGAAAUAAUGCUUUUUUUAUAUUUUAAAUGUUUCUGCUAAUUUUCAUUGUGUUCUUACAGCAUUAGUUAUACCUUAUAAAUCAUGAUUUCAAAAAUAUAACAAAAGAACAUUGUCACCCAUUAUUUUUCAUUCUUCUAAUAAAAAUAAAAGCUCUAUAUAUUUUUGGUUUUAUUAAUCUGAGACUUGGCAGUGAACAGUCCUUUUCAUCCAUUCCAUGAAACACAGUAUCAAAAUAUCUCAAAUAUUUUGACAUGGAACUAUCCAUUAUAUACAUCAUUCAAGUAAUAUCUUGUAAUCUGUAUUACAAUAUACUUUCUUUUCCUGGUGAUAAAAAGUUUGAAGAAUGUGUAUGUAUUACUUUUAAAAAUAAACUUCAAAAUACUUUUUGAACUAAUGAUAUUAUGACCUUCAUUCUAGUGUGGUACUUGUGGUUAAAUAUUUUUUAAAGAACAAUUAUAAUAUUCAUAGAGAACAUUCUAACUUUUAGUAAAUUGUCAGUAUUGUGGAGAUCAAUAAUGUCUUAGUCAGAAAGUUGUUUGUAUUAUAGAGAUCAGUAAUUAAUGUUGUAGUUAGAAAGAUGUCAAUAUUGUGGAGAUCGGUAAUGUCUUGGUCAGAAAGUUGUCAGUGUUAUGGAGAUCCAAAUUGCUAGAGUCAGAAAGUUUUCAGUAUUGUUGAGAUCAGUAAUGUUCUAGUCAGAAGACUCAGUAUUGUUCUAGUCAGAAGACUCAGUAUUGUUGAGAUCAGUAAUGUUCUAGUCUGGAAGUUGUCAGUAUUAUGGAGAUCAAUAAUGUUCUACUCAAAAGUGGACAGUCUUGUGAAGAUAGCAAUGUUUUAAUUAGAAAGUUGUCACUAUUGUGUAGAUAGUAAUGUUCUUGAUAGGAAGUUGUCAGUAUUGUAGAGAAGUAAUGUCAUACAGAAUGUCUUGUCUUGCUCAGUAACUUAGGACUCCAUUUUCAAGGUGCAUAUUUUAAAUUAAGAUUUAUAGAUUGCUGAAGUUUCAAUAUUUUUUUUCAGAGUAAUUGUUGUGCAUUUGAAUCUUAAAUCUAAAGAAACUUUUGGAAGCUUGGAUUAAAAGCACUUUCCUAUUCACUGAUGCCCUCAGAAACUCGUAUGCAAACAAAUGACUAAGCUUAUAAUGGAGUUAACCAUUGUAAAAUGAUGUAUAAAGAAAAUUAAACUGCAUUGCUAAAGA
Molecule: unclassified non-coding RNA, 3130 nt
Filed under: Limulus polyphemus (Atlantic horseshoe crab)
Lineage: Eukaryota; Metazoa; Arthropoda; Merostomata; Xiphosura; Limulidae
Description: nuclear pore glycoprotein p62-like, transcript variant X2
Source: RNAcentral